GGCUACACACGUGCUACAAUGGGUAGUACAGAGAGUCGCAAAGCCGCGAGGUGGAGCUAAUCUCAGAAAACUAUUCUUAGUUCGGAUUGUACUCUGCAACUCGAGUACAUGAAGUUGGAAUCGCUAGUAAUCGCGAAUCAGCAAUGUCGCGGUGAAUACGUUCUCGGGUCUUGUACACACCGCCCGUCAACACCACGAGAGUUGGUUGCACCUGAAGUAGCAGGCCUAACCGUAAGGAGGGAUGCUCCGAGGGUGUGAUUAGCGAUUGGGGUGAAGUCGUAACAAGGUAUCCGUACGGGAACGU
Molecule: ribosomal RNA, 304 nt
Filed under: uncultured Fusobacterium sp.
Lineage: Bacteria; Fusobacteriati; Fusobacteriota; Fusobacteriia; Fusobacteriales; Fusobacteriaceae
Description: bacterial SSU rRNA
Rfam family: Bacterial small subunit ribosomal RNA
Source: RNAcentral